CCCAAUGUAUUCAUGUCUGAUUUGGCAGAGUCAUACAGUAUUGCAUGGAACAGGACAAUGGGUGCUCCUAAGAUGAGACUCUAUUGUACCUGGCAUAUGGACAGAGCAUGGAAAACUAAUAUCAAGCGGAAAAUUGCAGAUCUGGAUAAAAGAAAUGAGGUGUAUCAGCUUAUUAAAUCAGUGUCAAUGCUGAGAAAGGUAAGUAGGUUUCAGGAAUCACUGCAAAAAGCAUUGCAGAAGCUCAGUAGUGACCCUGACACAUCAGAAUUUGCUUCAUACUUCAAGACACACUAUGAGGGAAAUGUGGAGUGUUGGGCCUACUGUCACAGAACGUAUGCUGGUCUCAAUACCAACAUGCAUGUGGAGAGUAUGCAUAGGACGUUAAAGGAGAUACAUGGUAAUGCAAGACAGAUAAAACGACUGGACAAAGGCAUAUCUACACUAAUGUCCCUAGUUCCAGCCAAGAUGUUUGACUGGCUUAUAGCGAAUGUAAAAGGGAAGGUUACAAGCAAAGUUCAAGACAUUCGUAAUAAGCACAAAACUAGUUUGUUAAUGGACCUCAUGACUGAGGUAGAUGGUGGUUGGGAAGUGCUAUCCACAUCAUCUUCAGAGGUGUACAUUGUGAAAGAUAACAGAGUCAACUAUGAGUGCAAAUUAAAAUGUAGUGAUUGCAAUGUAUGCAUACAUAGGUAUCACUGUACAUGUAUGGAUUACAGUAUUAGAUUCAAUAUGUGUAAGCACAUUCACACUGUUUGCCGAGAUGACAGUGUCGGUGAAAAUUCCCUGCAAAGUCCAGAGGUACUGGGUACUGGUGUUGAUGUUGAAGCCACCAGUGAGAGAACAGCAAUAUUAGCCGAAGUAAGCACAAAAUCUGUUUCAAAAACACCAAAAUCAUUGUGAGAAGGGAAACAGAAGCUUAUUUCAGUGUUUUCCAAUAUUGUCAGUGGAAUGACGGAGACUGAACUGCAGUUGGCCAAAGAACUGUGUUAUCCUUAAAUUGAAAUGUAGGAGCUGUUCGAGCCCGAAACGGUUACGUCAGACAAACAGAUAAGGGCCACAAAAGAAUGCUAAUGCCACAGAGGAGGCUGUUUUCUACCAAGAAGAAAACAGCACGUAAUAUUUCUCUGGCUGUUCCAAAUGCUGAAGAAAGGUGUGAAAUAGUAAAAUCACUUCUGAAUGAGGGUAUGUAUCAAUUUUCAACUUAUUGAGUAGAUACGUUUAUGUGUUGAACCUUGGCAGAGUAAAAUAUAAUUCACACAAAGUUGACAGGUACUGAACACAAAUUCGUAUAUUAACCAUGAAUUACUUGAAAUUUAUGUGCAGAGCUCGACACGAAUCAUGAUGUUCCUGCGGAGCACAGUCGUGCCGUGCCAGAUGUACAGCACAGCAAAAGAGGGCUUGACACCAAAAAUCACUUGCAUGUUGUAGAACAACCACACACAUGUUAUGGCAGUCAGGUGUUCAUCAUGGUGUAUCAGGGCUGGACAUUAACCAUAUUGUUGCUGUGCAGCAUGGUUAUGCCAUACCAAUUGUGCAGCACAGCACAACAGGGCUUGACACCCACAAUCAGGCCCAUGUUGAACAACCACACACUAUGCCAUGGCAGCCAGGUGUUCAUCAUGGUGCAUCAGGGCCGGACAUGAACCAGUUUGUUGCUGUGCAGCAUGGUUAUGCCAUACCAAAUGUGCACAACAGGGCUUGACACCCACAAUCAGGUCCAUGUUGUGGAACAACCACACACUAUGUAAUGGCAGUAGGGUUAUCAUCAGGGGUGGACAUGAACCACAUUGUUGCUGUGCAGCAUGGUUACACCACAUCAAAUGUGCCACUCAGCACAGUCCAGAUUACAUCCACUCAACAGCAGAAUGGAAACGAUCUCAGUUUGCAAUAUGAGCAACUUGGUUAAAAAGAAACUCCAUCCCUUGAAGCUGAGUGAGCAGCACAUCAGUCUGGAUUAUGCUAUGUCAAGGAGCAGUGAGGGAGGUCCCAAACAUUUGGAUCUUGGCACUGAUGUCAAGUCAGGCCCCUUAGGCUGCCUCAAGAGCUGACUAUGAGGACUGGUAUCCACUCAGCCUUAUCUGGCCACCAGAAGGAGAGUGAAAAGAACCUUGGAAUUCCAUCACUUCAGAGGAGGCAAUCCGGAUCCAUUCAGCUUCAUCAAGCUUAGUGAAUGGCAAGACAGUCCGGCCUAUGCCAUUAUGCCAUCUUGAGGACUAAUGAAGUAAGUCCCAAACAUUUCGAGCUUGGCACUGAUGUCGAGUCAGGCCCCUCAGGUUGCCUCAAGAGUGAAGGACUUCAGAAGGCCAAGACUAGGAUCCACUCAGCUUUACCUGGCUGUCAGAAGGAGAGUGGAAAGGAACUUGAGCCGGCCGCUGUGGCUGAGCGGAUCUAGGCGCUUCAGUCCGGAACCGCACGACUGCUGCGGUCGCAAGUUCGAAUCCUGCCUCGAGCAUGGAUGUGUGUGAUGUCAUUUGGUUGGUUAGUUCCAGGGGACUGAUGACCUCUGAUGUUAAGUCCCAUAGUGCUCAGAGCCAUUUCAACCAUUUUGAAAGGACCUUGGAAUUCCAUCACUUCAGAGGUGGCAAUCCGGAUCCAUUCAGCAUCAUCAGGCUUAGUGAAUGGCAAGUCAGUCCGGACUAAGCCAUCUUGAGGACUAAAGAGGGAAUUUCCAAACAUUUGGAGCUUGUCACUGAUGUUGAGUCAGGCCCCACAGACUGUAUCAAGAGUGGAGGACCAUAUAUCCCCAAUAUCUGGACUUCAGGUCAGGACUGGGAUGCACUCUGCCUUCCCUGGCUGCCAGAAGGAGAGUGGAAAUGUCCAUGAAAUAUCAGCACUUCAGAGGUCAGGAUUAUGAUUCACUCAGCCUCAUCAGGCCUAGUGAAUGGCAAGUCAGUCCAGAAUGUGAUGCAUUGAAAGCAGAUGGGAAGGACCUGAGAUGUCUCUACCAUUCGGAGUUCAGGAUAGCAUUCCACCCUGUCCUCUACAGCUGCGUCAGGAUCAGAUUUGAAAGGAACUGCAAUAUCUGAUCCCAGAACUAAAGACCACUCCGCAUCUUCAGGAUGACUCGAGUUUGUGGAGGUCAAGGCAUCUAUAAUAAGUAGAAUUAGGGACUGAAAUGCUGUUGGCAUGGCCGGGUCACCACAGUAAUGCUUGAAGUCGAGUCAUCAAGAACUGGAUUUCUACAGCAUCAAUUACAGCCAGAGAAAUACUACGUUGUCACACACAUAGCACUGAUAAGAAGCUACAGUAGCUUUAGUGACAACGGGCAGCUCCUGUUGAUGGUUUUUGCAAACAUGCUGACUGAGAUUCUUUCUGUAAUUAUACUCUUGCCCACACACUUUGCAUUUAAAAUCACUCAUUUGACUUACUACCAUUAAUUGCUGGUUUCAUUCAAAUACAUGGAGCAAAUAUUGAAGACAUUGGGGCCGGCCAGAGUGGCCGAGCGGUUGUAGGUGCUUUAGUCCGGAACUGUGCGACUGCUAUGGCCGCAGGUUCGAAUCCUGCUUCAGGCAUGGAUGUGUGUGUCAUCCUUAGAACUACUUAAACCUAACUAACCUAAGUUCUAGGGGACUGAUUACCUCAGGUGUUAAGUCCCAUAAUGCUCAGAGCCAUUUGAACCAUUUUUGAAGACAUGGGUGUAAGUGCUACUCUGAGAUGAACAGACGGGAGUUUGUGUCUGUCUUUCUGACAAUUUCAAUACGAAUGAUGGUAACAUCAUCAUUGUGCAAGAUUUCUUGUAGCAUAAUUCACACAAUGUAUGUGUCCUCUGAAACAUUAUGAUGUAAUAUAACACAGCUGGAAAUGUUAUUAAUUUUAGUUUUUUUGAAAUAGGUGUUUCCCAGAUCACUGCAGAAGUUGUGUUCUAAUGCAUGACGAUUGGCAUAAACAUAAGAAUGUCCCAAUUGGACACUGGUGAUAGAUACUCGGGAUGUUUUCCAUGUCCUUACUACUGCACUUGUGACCUACACAAGCAUGUUUUUAAAGGUUUGAAAACAACAUCAAAAUUGGUGGGGGUAAAGACAAAUAGGUACUUUCAACUCUUAAGAUUUAUGUCUGUCAUUUAUAGUAAUGGAAGAUUGUUUGUUCACUGUCAUCAUGGUAGAAGCAGUAUUUCUCCUUAAGUGCCCAAUGUAAUUAUGUUUUUUUGUAUGUCUACUUGUAAUCUGUUGCUGUAAUACUUUAUUAUU
This is a long non-coding RNA of Schistocerca serialis cubense, 4187 nucleotides long. RefSeq lists it as uncharacterized. Lineage: Eukaryota; Metazoa; Arthropoda; Insecta; Orthoptera; Acrididae. The record is from RefSeq and is a predicted model, not a curated record. The transcript is spliced from 13 exons.